GCAAAGAAGUAAAAAAUUACAAUUAAUUUCGACUUAAUUUUAGAGAAAAUCUCCAUGCU
This 59-nucleotide transfer RNA is filed under the name Stenocranus matsumurai. Its description in RNAcentral is "tRNA-Arg". Lineage: Eukaryota; Metazoa; Arthropoda; Insecta; Hemiptera; Delphacidae. The record is from RNAcentral.